This 248-nucleotide long non-coding RNA is filed under the name Hordeum vulgare. RNAcentral describes it as "long non-coding RNA (HVUL_LNC004041)". The record is from RNAcentral. Lineage: Eukaryota; Viridiplantae; Streptophyta; Magnoliopsida; Poales; Poaceae.
GGGGAGUUUGUGCUUUUCAUUAAAACUGCUUUACAUCAUGCAUAUCUUGUGGCUACCCUCUCAAGCAAGGUUGUCAUCUAUAUCAAAAAGGGGGAUAUUGAAAGUGCAUUCUAGACCUUAACAGUCUUUGACAUCUGUGACAAUUUCAUUUGUGUUUCUAACCACAUGCUCAAGUCUAAACAACACCGUCAAAUCUGAAGUGAAGCAUGUAUGGUUAUCCUCCCUCUACUCGGAAAAAAGUAAAAAAG